This 2924-nucleotide ribosomal RNA is filed under the name Escherichia coli. Its description in RNAcentral is "bacterial LSU rRNA". It matches the Rfam family "Bacterial large subunit ribosomal RNA". The record is from RNAcentral. Lineage: Bacteria; Pseudomonadati; Pseudomonadota; Gammaproteobacteria; Enterobacterales; Enterobacteriaceae.
GGGUUGUGAGGUUAAGCGACUAAGCGUACACGGUGGAUGCCCUGGCAGUCAGAGGCGAUGAAGGACGUGCUAAUCUGCGAUAAGCGUCGGUAAGGUGAUAUGAACCGUUAUAACCGGCGAUUUCCGAAUGGGGAAACCCAGUGUGUUUCGACACACUAUCAUUAACUGAAUCCAUAGGUUAAUGAGGCGAACCGGGGGAACUGAAACAUCUAAGUACCCCGAGGAAAAGAAAUCAACCGAGAUUCCCCCAGUAGCGGCGAGCGAACGGGGAGCAGCCCAGAGCCUGAAUCAGUGUGUGUGUUAGUGGAAGCGUCUGGAAAGGCGCGCGAUACAGGGUGACAGCCCCGUACACAAAAAUGCACAUGCUGUGAGCUCGAUGAGUAGGGCGGGACACGUGGUAUCCUGUCUGAAUAUGGGGGGACCAUCCUCCAAGGCUAAAUACUCCUGACUGACCGAUAGUGAACCAGUACCGUGAGGGAAAGGCGAAAAGAACCCCGGCGAGGGGAGUGAAAAAGAACCUGAAACCGUGUACGUACAAGCAGUGGGAGCACGCUUAGGCGUGUGACUGCGUACCUUUUGUAUAAUGGGUCAGCGACUUAUAUUCUGUAGCAAGGUUAACCGAAUAGGGGAGCCGAAGGGAAACCGAGUCUUAACUGGGCGUUAAGUUGCAGGGUAUAGACCCGAAACCCGGUGAUCUAGCCAUGGGCAGGUUGAAGGUUGGGUAACACUAACUGGAGGACCGAACCGACUAAUGUUGAAAAAUUAGCGGAUGACUUGUGGCUGGGGGUGAAAGGCCAAUCAAACCGGGAGAUAGCUGGUUCUCCCCGAAAGCUAUUUAGGUAGCGCCUCGUGAAUUCAUCUCCGGGGGUAGAGCACUGUUUCGGCAAGGGGGUCAUCCCGACUUACCAACCCGAUGCAAACUGCGAAUACCGGAGAAUGUUAUCACGGGAGACACACGGCGGGUGCUAACGUCCGUCGUGAAGAGGGAAACAACCCAGACCGCCAGCUAAGGUCCCAAAGUCAUGGUUAAGUGGGAAACGAUGUGGGAAGGCCCAGACAGCCAGGAUGUUGGCUUAGAAGCAGCCAUCAUUUAAAGAAAGCGUAAUAGCUCACUGGUCGAGUCGGCCUGCGCGGAAGAUGUAACGGGGCUAAACCAUGCACCGAAGCUGCGGCAGCGACACUAUGUGUUGUUGGGUAGGGGAGCGUUCUGUAAGCCUGUGAAGGUGUGCUGUGAGGCAUGCUGGAGGUAUCAGAAGUGCGAAUGCUGACAUAAGUAACGAUAAAGCGGGUGAAAAGCCCGCUCGCCGGAAGACCAAGGGUUCCUGUCCAACGUUAAUCGGGGCAGGGUGAGUCGACCCCUAAGGCGAGGCCGAAAGGCGUAGUCGAUGGGAAACAGGUUAAUAUUCCUGUACUUGGUGUUACUGCGAAGGGGGGACGGAGAAGGCUAUGUUGGCCGGGCGACGGUUGUCCCGGUUUAAGCGUGUAGGCUGGUUUUCCAGGCAAAUCCGGAAAAUCAAGGCUGAGGCGUGAUGACGAGGCACUACGGUGCUGAAGCAACAAAUGCCCUGCUUCCAGGAAAAGCCUCUAAGCAUCAGGUAACAUCAAAUCGUACCCCAAACCGACACAGGUGGUCAGGUAGAGAAUACCAAGGCGCUUGAGAGAACUCGGGUGAAGGAACUAGGCAAAAUGGUGCCGUAACUUCGGGAGAAGGCACGCUGAUAUGUAGGUGAAGCGACUUGCUCGUGGAGCUGAAAUCAGUCGAAGAUACCAGCUGGCUGCAACUGUUUAUUAAAAACACAGCACUGUGCAAACACGAAAGUGGACGUAUACGGUGUGACGCCUGCCCGGUGCCGGAAGGUUAAUUGAUGGGGUCAGCGCAAGCGAAGCUCUUGAUCGAAGCCCCGGUAAACGGCGGCCGUAACUAUAACGGUCCUAAGGUAGCGAAAUUCCUUGUCGGGUAAGUUCCGACCUGCACGAAUGGCGUAAUGAUGGCCAGGCUGUCUCCACCCGAGACUCAGUGAAAUUGAACUCGCUGUGAAGAUGCAGUGUACCCGCGGCAAGACGGAAAGACCCCGUGAACCUUUACUAUAGCUUGACACUGAACAUUGAGCCUUGAUGUGUAGGAUAGGUGGGAGGCUUUGAAGUGUGGACGCCAGUCUGCAUGGAGCCGACCUUGAAAUACCACCCUUUAAUGUUUGAUGUUCUAACGUUGACCCGUAAUCCGGGUUGCGGACAGUGUCUGGUGGGUAGUUUGACUGGGGCGGUCUCCUCCUAAAGAGUAACGGAGGAGCACGAAGGUUGGCUAAUCCUGGUCGGACAUCAGGAGGUUAGUGCAAUGGCAUAAGCCAGCUUGACUGCGAGCGUGACGGCGCGAGCAGGUGCGAAAGCAGGUCAUAGUGAUCCGGUGGUUCUGAAUGGAAGGGCCAUCGCUCAACGGAUAAAAGGUACUCCGGGGAUAACAGGCUGAUACCGCCCAAGAGUUCAUAUCGACGGCGGUGUUUGGCACCUCGAUGUCGGCUCAUCACAUCCUGGGGCUGAAGUAGGUCCCAAGGGUAUGGCUGUUCGCCAUUUAAAGUGGUACGCGAGCUGGGUUUAGAACGUCGUGAGACAGUUCGGUCCCUAUCUGCCGUGGGCGCUGGAGAACUGAGGGGGGCUGCUCCUAGUACGAGAGGACCGGAGUGGACGCAUCACUGGUGUUCGGGUUGUCAUGCCAAUGGCACUGCCCGGUAGCUAAAUGCGGAAGAGAUAAGUGCUGAAAGCAUCUAAGCACGAAACUUGCCCCGAGAUGAGUUCUCCCUGACUCCUUGAGAGUCCUGAAGGAACGUUGAAGACGACGACGUUGAUAGGCCGGGUGUGUAAGCGCAGCGAUGCGUUGAGCUAACCGGUACUAAUGAACCGUGAGGCUUAACCUUACAACGCCGAAG